This is a long non-coding RNA of Catharus ustulatus (Swainson's thrush), 314 nucleotides long. RefSeq lists it as uncharacterized. The transcript has 3 exons. The record is from RefSeq and is a predicted model, not a curated record. Lineage: Eukaryota; Metazoa; Chordata; Aves; Passeriformes; Turdidae.
CCUCCUUCCUCUGUGGUGACUUGAUUCAGCUGAAGCUACGAUUUGACCGAUCGAUGCAAGCACAUUACACACCAGAAUAAGAGUAAGAUUCCUAAGAAUUCACAGAUUGAAGUAAUUUCCUUCUAUAUUUGAUCCUCACAUGCUGAGCCAGCCAGCUAAUCUAGAGAUCAAAUAUGCACCAGGUCUACUGCAGGUACAUUUUGAAAAAUUCAGGCUAAGAUCUUGUCCCACUGUCAUGAUGUAAUCAAUUGUGAUAGCCAGGAUAAUAGAUGUGGAAUUUUGGAAAGGCAAGUUUCAGAAAUGGCACAAAAUGU